This is a long non-coding RNA of Zingiber officinale, 1793 nucleotides long. RefSeq lists it as uncharacterized. The record is from RefSeq and is a predicted model, not a curated record. The transcript is spliced from 7 exons. Lineage: Eukaryota; Viridiplantae; Streptophyta; Magnoliopsida; Zingiberales; Zingiberaceae.
ACAUUGCGAACCCUUGAUGUUUCGCCCUAGUUUCCCCGACCUGAUCUCGAGCCGUCGAUUUCAAUUUUUUGCCUCUUCUUCCAGGCUCCCCCUCACCUCCUCUUCUUAUCCUCUUUGCUUUCGCCUCUACAUCCCAUCGAUCACUCCUCUCCUAUGGCGUAGAACCCUAAUCUCAAGAUCUCGCCAUGAAGAGGGGGAAAUCAAAGACUGACACUCCCAAGAAGGCUAAUACGAAUCUUUUGGUGAAGAAGGGACCGGAACGUGCAGCAAAGAAGCCAAGGAAUUCCAAAACUGGCAAGGAUCCCAACACGCCCAAGAGGCCUUAGAGUGCCUUCUUCGACUUCAUGGAAGAAUUUUGGAAGACGUUCAAGGAAAAGAACCCUAAUAACAAGUCAGUCGCAACGUUGGAGGAGACAAGUGGAAAUCUUUGACGGAAGAAGGAAAAAGAUCUUUUGCAUGAGAAGGAGGUGGCUAUCAAGCAGCUAAAGUGUGAUGGCCUUCAAGGGAACAAAGACAAUGAUUAUAUACAUUAAGGAAGCAUAUGUCAAAGUCCUUACAAGGUUGGUUCUAAAUUAUUUGCUGCAUACUGGAUGAUAAAGGUAGAACUGUAUCAAAUAUUGAUGGUGGCAUUAUUCAAUCUGAUGCUAACUUGCAAGUCAACUAUUUUGAAGGAUGAUUCAUCUGAAAUUAAUUUGUUGGUUCAAAGAAUUUUGUAUCAAUGUCUUGUAGCCCCAAAGGUACCAUCCACUUUAAAUAUUGUCUUAGAGUAAAAUCUUCAUGGAUCAAUCCGAAGACAAAUGUGAGGAUGUUGGUGAUAAACCAGAUGACACCAUGAAAUUAAAGAUUCUAACAAGGGAAAUGCUGCAAAGAAGCAUCUAUUAAACAUGUUGGGUGCAAUCUCAACACCCGCAGCAUUUGCUAAGUUUCCUCCGAUGUCUGGAAAGGUUGCUGCUGCCCACACAGCCAAUCCAAUCCAUGUAACCUCUGGGUUUAUUCGCAUCUAUAGUUCAACCAUAUCAGAAAAUGUCGUGCACGGGCCCUCCCAGAAGAAUGGACAUGCACAUUGCAUGCUUUCCUACAGCGUGCCUGAUGAAUCUACGAGAAAGCGUCAGGUUAAUCCUAUGUCGAUGGUGAUCCAAGGAGGCAUAUAUGUACUUAUUCUUAGUCUCAUGGCUAAUUCUUACCAUUAUCUACAAAGCGACGGCUGGAUACACGACAAGAAAGAAGGUUAUACAAAUCAAGUAAGAUUUGACUGACCUGAACAUUUAUAUUUCCACAUCCAGUGCAAUUGAAGAAACUCAGGUACUAGGAUUAUUUAGUGCCCCAAUAGAUAAACAAUAGCUAGUUCAACAUUUUAUACACUAAGUUAUUCAACAACACAUGGCAACUGUAUUACAACAUUUCGUUGUAAUUUGUUGGGAAAAAUUCUGAUCCCAAUUGGUCCCUCGUAUUUGCAUGGGGCUUUUAAUGUGACACUCGAAGUUUCAUUCAUCUCAUUUAAUCUUUGUUUAGUUAUCUCAUGACUACAUUUCAGUGUGAUUUCUAGUUAAAGUUCUUUCCAAUUUGACCUCUGAAGUUUGUAUUAUAGGUUUUGAUUUAACUAAGUUUAGUUGCCUCAUUUUAGCUUCUGUUGUGUUUUUUAUUUUUUUAACUCAUGUAGUUCAAUGAAACAAUGGGUCAAGCUUCCGGAUCCAGGUUCGGUCUAGAGAAGGACCAUAGUGAGUACUUAACCAAAUACCAAAGGUUUCAUUGAUUCAAAUGAAACUUGAGGGACUAAAUUUAAGUAUUCAAAC